Xenopus tropicalis (tropical clawed frog) is the source of this 1920-nucleotide long non-coding RNA. RefSeq lists it as uncharacterized. The transcript has 3 exons. The record is from RefSeq and is a predicted model, not a curated record. NCBI's taxonomy places the organism in Eukaryota, Metazoa, Chordata, Amphibia, Anura, Pipidae.
GCCCACCAGAGAAGCAAAAUGGAGGAGUUUUCCAUCAUGUGACUACGCCGCUGUUGAAUAAGUGUACCCAAGGAAUUUAAGUUUCAUAUGAAGAGUAACGUACUGCAGCUAAAGCUAGGACAUCCAUCUUCUUCAGUUGGCACUUCAGAUAAUCUUUGACCUGUGUAUAAGGCGCAAACGGGGAGACUGCGGUUUCUGUUAGAAAAAGCGAGACACACCAAUCCUCGGCAGGCCAGAUUAAAAAGACCAACAAGCCGGACGUGGCCCGCGGGCCGUUUGCCCACCCCUGCUCUAUGCACACUAUUAGCUUACAGGAGGCUUUGGUUGGUAGUACCUUUUGUUUUUAUACUUUCCACCAAAAAAAAAACCACCUGCUUUGGGGACACUGGGAGCAACAUCCAAGAGGUUGGUGAGCAACAUGUUGCUCAAGAGCCCCUGGUUGGGGAUCAUUGCUUUAAUACAACCCUAUGCCCAAAGAAGUUGGGACACUGUGAAAUAUAAAAAAAAGAAAAUGAGAUAAUGUACAAAUCUUUGAAACCCUAUACACUGUAUUUAAUUGCUAAUAGUACAAAGGCAACAUAUUAAAUGUUGAAAUUGAAAAAUGUUAUUGUUUUGAUGCCAGCAGCAGCCAGCAGUUUUGAAUUGGAUGCCAGCAGCACGUUUCAAAAAAAGUUGGGACAGUGUCAUGUUUUCCAUUUCCUCUUCUUUUAACAACACUAUGUAAUCAUUUAGAAACUGUGGAGCUCAAUUGCUGUAGUUUUGAAAGUGAAAUAUCGACCCCUUCUUGCCUGAUAUAGGAUUUUAGGUGCUCAACUGUUUGAGGUCUCCUUUGUUGUAUUUUUCAUUUCAUAAUGUGCCAAAUUUUUCAGUGGGUGACAGGUCUGGAAUGCAGGGGGGCAGUUUAGGACAGAGCCAUGCAGGUGCAAUAGAAUACAUAAUGUGGUUUGGCAUUGACUUUAUAAAAUAAGCAAGGCUUUCCCUGAAAAAUGCUGUCUGGGUGGCAGCAUAUGGUCCUCUAAACAUGUAUAUAUCUUUCAGCAUUAAUGAUACCUUCCAGAUGUGCAAGCUACCUUGUGAACUAAUGUACCCCCAUACCAUCAUGGAUGCUGGAUUUUAAACUGGGUGCUAAUAACAAGCUGAAUGAUCCUUCCUGUCUUGAGCCUGGAAGAUGUAAUGUCCAUGAUUUAAAAUGAUUAAAUGGUCAGUAGUGAUGAGUGAAAAUAUUUGUCAGAUUUCCCUGCAUAAAAACACCAAUAGACUCAAAUGGCCACAAAAAAAGUUACACAGUAAAAAAAGUUGCGAUGUAUAGGCAAAAAAAUUCUCUAUGCGUUUUGCAUAUUUUUACCGAUUCACAAUCAAUUUUUUCUGGCAAAGCAGGACAUAUUCUCUCAUCACUAUUAAUCAGACCACAGGACAUUUUUCCACAUGGCCUCAGUCUAUCUUACUGUAAAUGAGCCUGGCCCAGAGAAGGCAGCAGUGUUGUUGGGUGUUUAUAUAUGGUUUCCACCUGGUAAAGUUUUAACUUGCAUUUGUGGAUGCAGCGACAAAAUGUGUUCGCGGACAAUGGUUUUUGGAAGUAUUCCUGAGCACAUGCAGUGAUUUCUACUACAGAAUCAUGUCUGUUUCUAAUGCAGUUACACCUAAAGAAGAUUAGCUUUCAGCCUAUUAUUAUAUUAUUCUUUGCAAUUUUACAUUGAAAAACAUUCUUCUUAAAUUGUUGCAAUGUUUUCACAGAGUGAUGUUCCCCUCCCCAACUUUACUUCUAAAAGACUCAGUCUCUCUGGGAUUUCCUCUUUUUAUACCAAAUCAUGUUAAUAAUCUGUUGCCAAUUGGUGGGAUGUUCCACCAGGUGUUUUUUUUUUUGUUUUUUUUUUUGCAUUACACAACUUUUUUAGUUUUUGUUGGCCCUGUCCUAACCUU